GAGUCAUUAGCUCAGUUGGUAGAGCAUCUGACUUUUAAUCAGAGGGUCGGAGGUUCGAAUCCUCCAUGACUCACCA
Molecule: transfer RNA, 76 nt
Filed under: Terrilactibacillus tamarindi
Lineage: Bacteria; Bacillati; Bacillota; Bacilli; Caryophanales; Bacillaceae
Description: Terrilactibacillus sp. BCM23-1 tRNA-Lys
Rfam family: tRNA
About the family: Transfer RNA (tRNA) molecules are approximately 80 nucleotides in length.
Source: RNAcentral